This is a long non-coding RNA of Oryctolagus cuniculus (rabbit), 8794 nucleotides long. RefSeq lists it as uncharacterized. The record is from RefSeq and is a predicted model, not a curated record. NCBI's taxonomy places the organism in Eukaryota, Metazoa, Chordata, Mammalia, Lagomorpha, Leporidae.
GCUAAAAAAAUACAAACAGAAACGGAGAUAUUUUGUAGGGAGCCUUUGAAGUGGCUUGCUCAUAUAAAAAGACCUGAAAAUAUGCAGUAAAUGACCUUUCUGUCUAUCACACUAAAUAAUACCCGCUAAAAAAACCAAGGUUGUGGUCUUAGAGAGAAGAUAGGCCCUCUUGCCACCAAGCUCGAAGACGUGUAUGCAUCAGUCAACAAAGGUGGCAGCAGGGCCUGAGUUUGUCCGAGGAGCUGGGCAAAAGUGAGAUAACAACAUCGUAUGUUCUUUUUUCUUCGAUCUGUGGUUCCCAAUUUGGAGAGCUCUGAAAAACAGAUUUCCAACACCUUCCAGUGCACCCUUCCCCUGCUGAUUCAGAGUAUCCAGGGACAGAGCCCAGAGACCUGUGUGUUUUACAGUUCCUUAGGUGAGGAGGCAGCCAAGUUUCCCGGGCCCCCAGCUCACUCCUGAGUUCCUGUGUUAAUCCCUGGGGCCAUUAAUCCCGUUUGUUUAUUUUAGCAAAUGUCGCCCUCUCGUGGAAAAAACUGACCCAGCCUUCAAAACUGCGCUUAAAAAUGAGUGUGAGGUUGAUUUGCAGGUAGUUAUUGAGGGAGAGGGUUGCUAUUUUUGAAGAAGGAGACUUGAAAGAAAAAGCUCAUAAAUCCAGAAAAGGAGGUCUUGUUUGACAGCUUAAAGACUGUCUCAAGGGAACGUUGUCCUUAGAAUAAAUCAUCCUCCCUGCUGUGGCCAGUUGCAAGCAAACUUAAAGCACGUGUCGGGUAGUUAUGGGACAAAUGAAAUGAUGGAGCAAGAGCCUCUGGCACCAGGCUAAAUUUGCUUCUCCUUCCUGUCCUAAUGUUUCAGGGAAAUGUGAAAGGCUAUUACUGCGCGCACGUUGGCUCGUGGGUAAAUAGAACUUUGGCCCUUCCUGUUCCAGGAUGACUGGAUUUGAAAAAGAUUGUGACACUCGUUCUAAGAACUUCUCUUUAUCACAGAAUCCCCCCCCCCACUCUUGGGCAUUCUUUCUUAUAUUGUAAAAGGGAUUAUUUUUAUUAUAUUAUCAAGGUGAAUAAUUUGGGGCUGCUUUCCAUUGUUUGGAAAUGUGCAAAUACAUACUUGAUAGGAUCAUCUCAUAUUAUCUGCACAACAUUCUCUGAAGCAGGUGUUCUUGGCUCCUUUUUACAGAUGAUACACACUAAACUUCAGAAAGGUGAACAGUCCGAUGGGUAACACAGCUGGUAGGAGGUGCACCCUGAUGAGAACCCAGCUAGCUAUUUAAUUUCAAAGCCUAGCUAACUCCAGACCUACACCAUGUGCCACCAUUAGCUGGGUGUGUUUUUUUUUUUUUCUUUUAAGGCAUAUUUAUUUGAAAGAGUUACGGAGAGAGAGAAGGAGAGGGAGAAAGAGAGAGAAAUCUUCCACCUACUAGUUUACUUCCCAAAUGGUGAAAUCAGGAGUCUGGAACUCCAUCCCAGUGUGCCACACCUGACAAGGGACCCAAGCAUUUGGGGCAUCUUCUGCUUUCCCAGGUGCGUUAGCAGGGAGCUGGAUUGGAAGAGAAGCAGCCACAGCUGGGACUCAAACUGGCACUUACAUAGGGUACCAGCAUCACAGGCUGUGGCUAAACCCGCUGUGCCACAACAGCGGUCCCAGUAGCUGGUUCUUACUCUUGUCCCUGUCCACAGUACUAUUACAGGACCUGGAAAUGUAGUUAGGCAAUAGCCCAGACUGGCAUGUCCCUGGAAUGCUAAUACCAACCACAAAUUGGUACAAACACAGGGCGAUGAGGGGGAGGGCACUGCCUCAAAUAGCAGGUGAAGUCUCCUGAUCUCACUUUGGGGUUGCACAGAAGAACGUCCGGAAUGCAGCAGCCCUCCUGUGGCCAGGAACAGUGCAUUCUGCCCCGUGCGGUAGCUCAGACUAAUCCUGACUGGUUGUUAGUUCAUUUGCCUCUGAGCUGCUGAAUUUCACAAACAUUUGCGCCAAGUCUCUAUGCCACCAUGGCAAAUUGUCCAAAAUGUCACCAGUUUAUAUUAACAUCCUCGGGGCCAGCCCAGGCCAAUGUGGAAGUGGCAGUCCUCUCAAAGAGCCCCACUUCCUCCCUGGCCAGCCCUUCCUAAUCCCCCGGGGUCUGGCUUAUUUCCACAGAACUCUCUGGAAAGUUCUCUGAGGCAGCUCAUAAAUAUUUUUCCUCUUGUAAAAUGCCAGGGGCUGAGCUUCCUCCUUUUUUCUCUUGGCCUGUCUUCAGUUCAGGUGUGUCAAUAGUUCUCAACCUUUUCCUCCUUGGACAUCACCAUUUUCUGUUUUUUGUUUGUUUUCAUCCUUCCAGAAUGAAGUGUGUUUCUUAAGGCUUCAUGGGGAGACCUUACCUAUUCUCGCUCCUUUCUCCCUAGGCAAACUCCAACUCCAUAUUUUAUAUACCAUGCCUUAGAGCCAAAAAGGACUUUUGCCAUAAUUUAAUGGGCUAAUGAUUCAGUCUUUGACCCCUCCAUGAUUGGUUACCUGCCAUUCAUUCUUUCAACAAACAGCAUUGAGGGUUUCUAAGCACAAAGAGUUGGUGCCAUCAGGGAAUAGCAAAGAGUUCACAAGUUGGUAAGAGGGACAAGCGAGGAGAUAACAAGGACACAGGCCGGCUGUGGUAGGUGCGAGAAGGUGGUAACAGACUGGAGAAACAGAACUGUGGUCAAGAAAGAGACCAGCCGGUGGACUGAAGGAGGCGCGGGGGAAGAGCGGAAGUGUCGUCUGGGCUGUGCCUUUUGGCAGAUUUGACCAGAAGCGGACAUUCUAGGGUGACAGGGAGGAUCUGAACAAGGGCCCGGGGAAAGGAAAGCACUGGGUGGUCUCCCAGAAGCUGGUGCUUGGCUGCUCCAUGGAGGAGAUGGGGCCGGGGCGGCAGGCAGGAUGGGAGCGAGCGAGAGGCACCCUGAGGCCAGGCUGGACUCCGUUGGGCAGCAGAGCAAGACAUGACUAACGUGCUUUGGAGGAAAGAUAGGGGAAAGCCAGGCAUUGAGGCUGCGACGAGACUGUGGGCAAGGAUUAUUUUGGUCUUAGUCUGUAACGAGAAAAGUCAUGAAAGGACAAAACCCACAGAAGAGACCUUGCAAGGCAGAACAGGAAGCAUCUGACUGUACAGUGAUUCCAACAAGACCAGAAAGGAGGAAUUCAGCAGCAUCUACCAAACGUUUGCUUAACUCCUACCAUGUUGAAGGUGGGACCACAGAUGUGGCCAGGGAACAGAAAUCGCGGCCAGCCCAGCCAGAAGACGGUGAGGUAGUCUGGAAGGUGUAGCCAGACUGGUCCAGUCAUCUCAGCCUCUCAUGACAGCUGGUUUUCAGAGAUGGUACCAAACAAUUCCUCUCCUAGAUACACAGGCUGCUCUUCCCAUCAAAAGGUAAAACUUAUUUAUCUUCCCUUUGAAUCUUGACUGGCUCUGUGACUGGCUUUGACCUGAAGUGGCAUUUCUGGGACUUCUCUACCCAGAUCUGAAGACAUCUGACAGCUCACCAUCUCUUAGAACACUCACUCUUAGGAUGCUCUCUCUUGGAAGAAGCCCAAGCCACACACUGGCUACAUGGAGAAGGGACUGCCCAGGUCAACAGCCCCCGGCUGAGUGCCCAGCUGGCAGCCAUCAAGAUGACCCAUCUUGUUGUGCUCCAGCCCAAGCAAGUCCCAGAUGACCUUGACUGAUACCACAUAGGCAAGAAGAACUUCCUAACCACGCCCACUUAAAACUCACAGGGCCAUGAGAGAGAACAAAUUAACUGUUGUUUUAAAUCAUUGAGUCAUGGGGUAAUUUGCUGUUCAGGAAUACCUAAUCAAAACAGCUACCCAUGAGCCAACUUUAUCUAAUCAUGGGUAGGCUUGAACCUAAUCUGAUACCAACAAGACUCAUUUCCUUUCUGAUGGCAAAACCAAGAGGUAUGAGGCUCCAUUCUAUAAAGAAAAUCAAGUCAAAAGAUUUGACUUUCUGCAGUCAGAAAGCCCCGUAGAAGCUUGAGUUCCAAUUCCAGCUGACCUGAGAUUAGCCCACCCAGCCCUUCCCCAGUCAACCAGACCACAUUUACCCGAGCUACUUUGAGUUGGGUUUCUAGCACUUAACAACCCAUAAGCCUUGAUGAUGAUGCUGAUUCAGGAUUUCUUUUGGUUUUAUUUAUUGUGUAUUUUCAUCGUAUUUGAAAGGGAUGGGAAGAGAGAGAGAGAGCAACAGAGAGGUUUUCCAUCUACUGGUUCACUCCCCAAAUGCCUGCCACAGUGGGGACCGAGCCAAGCCAAAGCCAGGAGCUGGGUCUCCACACAGGUGGCAGAGACCCAAGCACUUGAGCCAUUGCCUGCUGCUCCCUAGGGUGUGCAUUAGCAGGCACUGGGGUCAGCACCAAGCUGGGACUUGAAUCCAGGCACUCUGAUAAGGGAUGCAUGAGUUCUGGGUGACAUUUUAGCCACUGGACCAAACGCCCAGGAUUUCUGAGGAAACUGAACUGAAAAGACCACCUAUGCCUGCACCUGAUGUUGACACCUGGUCCGUGGCCAACUCUCAGUAAGGGAGUGUUCUCUUUCUCCUUUGACCUGCCCUGCCCACACCCAUACCUGCAGAAGGCCCUGUGGUAGAAAGGGGGAUGAAAGAGAUAGACAAAGUGCAUACGAAGUAGGCUUUUUGUGGGUUUCGUCCCCAAUGACCCUGUGAAUGCCGGAGAACAGGGACUAUUUAUUCAGUGCCCAGAACAGGAUGAAGCCCAGAAGAGGGACUUUUAAAACAUUUGCUGAGAGAGGCCGGCGCCGUGGCUCACUAGGCUAAUCCUCCACCUUGCGGCGCCGGCACACCGGGUUCUAGUCCCGGUCGGGGAGCUGGAUUCUGUCCCAGUUGCCCCUCUUCCAGGCCAGCUCUCUGCUGUGGCCUGGGAGUGCAGUGGAGGAUGGCCCAGGUGCUUGGGCCCUGCACCCCAUAGGAGACCAGGAGAAGCACCUAGCUCCUGGCUUUGGAUCAGCACGGUGCGCCAGCUGUAGCGGCCAUUGGAGGGUGAACCAAUGGCAAAGGAAGACCUUUCUCUCUGUCUCUCUCUCUCUCUCACUGUCCACUCUGCCUGUCAAAAAGAAAAUAUUUGCUGAGAGAACGAGAGGAAAGAAGCUAUAUCCUCAUCUGGGGCAGCAGGGAAGAGAGGCAGAGACAGGUUGAGGCAAAGAGGGAAGCAGAAGAAAUCAUACAGGAUGAUUUUAGUCCCUUCCGCUCUUGGCCCUUCAAGCUCCCCGCUCCCCCCUCCUGCCCCAUAUAUGCCCGCACCAGCCUGUAGAAGGAAAUCACGGGGCUGGCAGCAGUGACUCCAAAGUUCUCUGUCUUCUCUCGUCUUUCGUCAUCCUGACAUGCUUGCCCUAGAAAUCCCACUCCAUGCUUUUUUUUUUUUUUUUAAAGGCAGAGUGGUGGUAAAUGAUACAUAGAUGACAGACAAGAUAGGUAGAUAGAGAGUGCACCCAUUCACUGGUUCACUCCCCAGAUGCCCCCCUCACUGGCCACAGUAGAGAGCUGGCCUGGAAGAGGGGCAACCGGGACAGAAUCCAUGCCCCGACCGGGGCAAGAACCCCGUGUGCUGGCACCGCAGGCGGAGGAUUAGCCUAUUGAGCCGCGGCACCGGCUGGGCACUUUGACUUUAAUAGGAGAAAUAUUACUGGAGAUAAAGAAGUCCAUUUCACACUGAGAAAAGAGUCCAUUCAUGAACAAAACAUAAUCCUUGUAUGCCUUGCACAAAAGGCAAAAAGUGAUGCAAAAAAGGUUAAAAAAUGGGAUGGGCAAUGUUGUAUUAGACAAAAAAAGAGACGGAAGAAUCAGGGAUAAUGUACUACAAACCAGAACCCACACAGAAGACAAAAAUAUCUCGGCAUCAUUCUAAAUUAUACAUGUAUAUAAUCCACCAGCAUGAAAUUUUCCGAGCUAAACAGCACAGCCUCAAAAUAUACAAAGGGAAUAACAUUGGAAAUAAUGAAGAAAAGCAACUGAAGCAUAAUCUUAAAAAAUGUGUUUUACAAUCUCACACAGCAAAACGUGAGUGAACAGUUCUGUGAGUGUUGACAAACGCAGGCAUGUAAACACCAGCACAGUCAAGUACAAAACAGCAACCCCCUCAAAAAUGCAUUCCUGUUGCCCCUGUGUGGUCAGAUGCUCCCUACCCUAGAAACCCUUUGGCCUAUCCUCCAGCCCCAUGGUUUUGUCUUUCUCAGAAUGCCGUAUGAAGGAAUUAUAUAGUCUUUGAGUCUGGCCCCUUUUUAUACAACAUAAUCCUCUGAGAGUCUUCCUAGUAUUACGUACGUCAAUCAUUCCAUUUCAUUGCCAAGUAGUGUCCCCCGGUAAGGAUGGAUCACAAUUCACUUAUCCAUUCACCCACUGAGAUGCCUUUGCGUGCUUCCUGUUUGGGGGGAUGAAACACAAUGUUGCUAUAAGCAUUCACACACGGGAUGCUAUGUGAACCUAAGUUUUCAUUUUUCUUGUGACCCAGGGACUGCUGGGUCAUAUGGUGAGUUUAACUCAAAAUGGCUCCCCAACUAUCACUCCCAAACAUGGUAAUGACGCAGAACUCCCGUCGCUCUGAUUCCUCGCAGGAAUCUGGUAUCUGAGGCAUAAUAUUUUUAAAUUUAGUUUUUAGGGUUUUUUUUAAGAUUUAUUUAUUUAUUUGAAAGGUGGAAUUAGAGACAGAGAGAGAGAUCUUCCAUUCACUGGUUCACUCCCCAAAUGGCCACAACAGCCAGGGCUGGGCCAGGCCAAAGCUAAGAGCCAGAAACUUCACCCGGUCUCCCACAUGAGUGCAGAGGUCCAAGCACUUGGGCCAUCAUUCACUGCUUUCCCAGGUGCAUUAGCAGGGAGCUGGAUUGGAAGUGGAGCAGCAAGGACUCAAACCAGCACCCAUAUGGGAUACCAGGGCUGCAGGCUGCAGCUUUACCCACUACACCACAGCGCCUGACCCAAAGUAUAAUCCUUUUUAAAAAGAUUUAUUUAUUUAUUUGAAAAGCAGAGUGACAGAGAGAGGGAAUAACAGAGAGAUCUUCCACCUUCUGGUUCAUUCCCUAAAUGGCCACAACCACCAGUUCUGGGCCAGGCCAAAGCCAAGAGCCAGGAACCCCAAACUGGUCUCCAACCCAGGUGGCAGGGGUACUUCUGCUGCCUUCCCAGGUGCAUCAGCAGGAAGCCGGAUUCAGAGCAGAGGAGCCAGGACUCAGCCCAGCACUCUGACGUCGGAUGCUGGUGUUGCAGGCUGCGGCUUAACUCGCCGUGCCACAGCGCCCUUUCCUGCAGCAUAAUGCUAACCCGUGCCUAUCCAUCAAGGAGAGCACACACACUUCUAACCACAUAUAUAAUACACAAAAUAAAGAUGUCGACAAUGUCAUUACAACAAAUUAAGGUUAACAAAUAUUUCAUAUUACAUUUUUACACGAUAGUGACAACAUCUUCAAGAAUCUGUGGAAUACACAUAAAAACUGAUCAUAUUUUAGGUCACAAAGAAAGCCUGCACACACUUCCCAAUGUAGAGACGCCACCAUGACGCAAUACCUGUGAGCAGAAGAGCAGUGUACGCAGAAAAAGAGCAUCUAGAGGGUGCUGGGCCCCGGUCAAAACAGUUAUUGCUUUGGAUCAAAGAAGAAUUUUAAAAUUAAAUUAAUUUUCAUUUUAUUUGAAAGGCAGGCAGGGAGAGGGAGCGAGUGCUCCAGGCAGAAGCCAGGGACUCCAUGUGCUUAACCCAUCACCUCCUGCCUCCCAGGGUGCGCAUCAGCAGGAAGCUGGAUUUGAAGCAGGGCAGCACUGGAGCCCAGGCCGUCUGAUAUGGGAUGGGGCCCUCCUAAGCGGUGUGCUAACGGUAGUGCCUGCCCCAAAUGGAAAAGAACUUCUAAGGAAAAUGCAGGAAGGCGGUAGACAGGCAGAGUUCCCUCUCCACAGGUCUUGGAGGGCCGGUCCGUGUCCUUACUCAUCUCCCUGGACAUCCAGGGACCAGCACAGGGCCUGGGCUCCCGAAACGCACGCAGUCAACUCUGCGAAGCACUUCGCGCUUUCCCAGGCACGGCCUCUCUGCUUUGGGCUUCUCAUAGUUGCAUUUUAGCAUUCAGUGAAGUAUUGCCAUCACAGUUUGCCCCAUCACCUCAGUCCUAUCAAACAUACGUUUAGUUACCACUCACAAUGUGCUGGCUGGCUGACAUUAAUUCACCUAGUCCUUGCAACUGUGAGGGGAUAUUCCUAAAUUUUCAGAAAAUGAGGCUCAAGAAAGUUAAGCGACUGAGGUUAUAAAGCUCUUUCUAUUACGUUACUUGACUCCUGAAGGUUUUGUUCAUCUGUGUAACCUCAGUUCGUAGCCUCGCUCAUGGCACAGAAUACCUCCUGCUAGCCAUGAAUUGCUUGUCUCCUGUGGUCUGUAAAUUUCCCUUAGUGUACUGUAGAGAGCUGCUAACACCGAAGGAUUCAGACUCACUCAACGUGUCUACCUGCGUUGCUCUAGGCUCCCAUCUCUAUGGUUAGCAUGUGGGCACUCUAUACUCAGGAGGACCCAGAGAGUACGGCCAAUCAUCAGGCCGCCAUGCAGUCACAUGGUCGGAAGUUUCAUUCGUUAUUGGCUAAAAAACGGGAGGGCCCGCCCAAUCACUUCCGGUCUGCUCCUUUAAGUAAAAGUGCUUGCGGGUUAGUGUCCUUUCAGAGACUGCGACGGUAGGAAGGUCCCGGCCGCCGGAUUUGAAUCCGCCCCAGCGCAGGAAGAAGUCGGACUUGAAUCAGCCCCAGCGCAGGUUCAAGUUCCCCCGCCCACCCCUCCGAGCUUCUCAAUAAAGGACUUUGUUCUCA